ACGGCGAGUGAAGCGGCAACAGCUCAAAUUUGAAAUCUGGCUUCGGCCCGAGUUGUAAUUUGCAGAGGAUGUUUCUGGCGCGGUGCCUUCCGAGUUCCCUGGAACGGGACGCCACAGAGGGUGAGAGCCCCGUAUGGUUGGACACCAAGCCUGUGUGAAACUCCUUCGACGAGUCGAGUAGUUUGGGAAUGCUGCUCUAAAUGGGAGGUAAAUCUCUUCUAAAGCUAAAUACCGGCCAGAGACCGAUAGCGCACAAGUAGAGUGAUCGAAAGAUGAAAAGCACCUUGAAAAGGGGGUUAAAUAGUACGUGAAAUUGUUGAAAGGGAAGCACUUAUGACCAGACUUGGGCCGGGCGGCUCAUCAGGGGUUCUCCCCUGUGCACUCCGCCCGGCACAGGCCAGCAUCGGUUCUCGUGGGGGGAUAAGACCGUCAGGAACGUAGCACCCUCCGGGGUGUGUUAUAGCCUGGCGGACGAUACCCCCGUGGGGACCGAGGUCCGCGCUCCGCAAGGAUGCUGGCGUAAUGGUCAUCAGUGACCCGUCUUGAAACACGGACCAAGGAGUCGUCCAUUAGAGCGAGCGUUUGGGUGUAAAACCCGCACGCGUAAUGAAAGUGAACGCAGGUGAGAGCUUCGGCGCAUCAUCGACCGAUCCUGAUGUUCUCGGAAGGAUUUGAGUAAGAGUUUUAACGGACGGACCCGAAAGACAGUGAACUAUGCUUGUAUAGGGUGAAGCCAGAGGAAACUCUGGUGGAGGCUCGCAGCGGUUCUGACGUGCAAAUCGAUCGUCAAAU
This 792-nucleotide ribosomal RNA is filed under the name Diaporthe pseudoinconspicua. RNAcentral's name for it is "LSU rRNA". It matches the Rfam family "Eukaryotic large subunit ribosomal RNA", at positions 86 to 910 of the family's 3401-position model. Lineage: Eukaryota; Fungi; Ascomycota; Sordariomycetes; Diaporthales; Diaporthaceae. The record is from RNAcentral.